GCUCCAAUAGCGUAUACUAAAGUUGUUGCAGUUAAAAAGCUCGUAGUUGAAUUUCUGGUCGCGGAAGGUGGUCCGUUCCUCACGGAAUGUGUACUGUCCAUCCGUGUCCAUUCUCGGAGUUAGUUUGUAUUACCUUCACCGGUCGUGCAUACAACCUCGUCAUUUACUGUGAGCAAAAUAGAGUGUUCAAAGCAGGCUUA
This 200-nucleotide ribosomal RNA is filed under the name uncultured eukaryote. RNAcentral describes it as "partial 18S ribosomal RNA". It matches the Rfam family "Eukaryotic small subunit ribosomal RNA", at positions 588 to 788 of the family's 1831-position model. The record is from RNAcentral.